AAUUGUUCCACGAUCGGGAGUAUCAUGCAAAGUGUUAUUUGGACUAGUCAUAUUUAAGAUAUAAUUAAAGUAUUUUCGCGAGUGAAUAUAAGUGCCAUGAAGAAAUAAUAAAAGAUAAACAAGAAAGAAGAAAAGGAUUCAGGAAAAUACCAGAUGACGAACGAAGCAACAGUACAUAUAGUGAUCGACGCAACAACUCCGAUGAUCUGAGAGGAGGCCUAGGAGAGGCAUCGGGCAUCAGCGGAGCAACUAUAAAACAACGUAGCUUCUUAAUAUCAACAA
This is a long non-coding RNA of Camponotus floridanus (Florida carpenter ant), 282 nucleotides long. RefSeq lists it as uncharacterized. NCBI's taxonomy places the organism in Eukaryota, Metazoa, Arthropoda, Insecta, Hymenoptera, Formicidae. The record is from RefSeq and is a predicted model, not a curated record. The transcript is spliced from 3 exons.